RNAcentral lists this long non-coding RNA (1011 nucleotides) under Oryctolagus cuniculus (rabbit). RNAcentral's name for it is "lncRNA (ENSOCUG00000032076.1)". Lineage: Eukaryota; Metazoa; Chordata; Mammalia; Lagomorpha; Leporidae. The record is from RNAcentral.
AUGCCAUUAUUACCCCUAUCAAGGAACCGUCUUGUGUUCCCGGGACAUUGGACCCCCUGGCCACCCCUGGCUGUUGGGGGAAGCGCGGACACGGGACACCUGGGGGUGGGGGUGCAGACACGGGACACACCUGGGUGCUGGGGGGUGGGGGCUGAAGGAGGAGCCGGCCCAGCCACAUGGGCAGAGCGCGGGCUGGGGUCCGAGACUGCAGACAGAGCCCUGCGGGCAGAGACAGAGGGGCUGGAUGCUGCAGCAGAGGAGGGGGCAGAGAGAGCAGGACGGGAGCGGGGAGGGGCGAGCAGCCUGCGGAGGGGCCCACCAGGGCCCCCAAGAGCCAGUGCGCGUGGACACGCACAGCUCAGGUCCAGGGCGCUGGUUACACGGCCCCGGGAAGCGCGAAGGCUGAGGCUGGCUCUCUGGCACGUGGCUUCCCAGCAGUCCGGGAAUGGCAGGCUUGAGAAGGAGCUGGGGGCUGGUGGGCGCGGGGCAGGGCGGGGCCGGGGGCAGGGCAAGGGGCCUGGUCAGCCAGACCUCCGUGCUCUGCUCCGGACGUGCCCAGGAGGCCUCCAGGCCUCGCCCCCAACCCCGCCAACGGGACCUGCCUGGGCCAGGACAAGCCCCAGGAGCACCUGCCCCUGCUGUGGGGAGGCCACAGGCUGGUGGUGUAGACCACGCCAGAGUCAGGAGUGCCAGACCUGGAGGACACCAACACACAAGGGUCUCCACCAGGGCUGGCUCGCCUGUCCCAGCAUGCUCCAAGCCUGCCACGCACCAGGGGGGUGGGGAGGGCAGACCCCACAGCGGAUGCCGGCCGCCUCGCCCGUGAGGACAGAGGUGCUCCCAGGCCCAGCCUGUGCGGAGCGGGGGUGCAUCCCUCCAGGUCAGGGUGGCAGCGGCAGGUCCCCAAGCCUCUGCCGAGAAGAGGAGGUGGUGUCAGGGCCGGCCGGGCAGCAGCUGGCCCCAGGGGGCACUCCCGGUUGGUCUGCCGGACGCCCGAGGCCCGGACCAUGA